GACGAACGCUGGCGGCGUGCUUAACACAUGCAAGUCGAACGGAAAGGCCCUGCUUUUGUGGGGUGCUCGAGUGGCGAGCGGGUGAGUAACACGUGAGUAACCUGCCCUUGACUUUGGGAUAACUUCAGGAAACUGGGGCUAAUACCGGAUAGGAGCUCCUGCUGCAUGGUGGGGGUUGGAAAGUUUCGGCGGUUGGGGAUGGACUCGCGGCUUAUCAGCUUGUUGGUGGGGUAGUGGCUUACCAAGGCUUUGACGGGUAGCCGGCCUGAGAGGGUGACCGGCCACAUUGGGACUGAGAUACGGCCCAGACUCCUACGGGAGGCAGCAGUGGGGAAUAUUGCACAAUGGGUGGAAGCCUGAUGCAGCAACGCCGCGUGCGGGAUGACGGCCUUCGGGUUGUAAACCGCUUUCGCCUGUGACGAAGCGUGAGUGACGGUAAUGGGUAAAGAAGCACCGGCUAACUACGUG
This 468-nucleotide ribosomal RNA is filed under the name uncultured bacterium. Its description in RNAcentral is "partial 16S ribosomal RNA". It matches the Rfam family "Bacterial small subunit ribosomal RNA", at positions 28 to 507 of the family's 1533-position model. The record is from RNAcentral.